Molecule: ribosomal RNA, 416 nt
Filed under: uncultured bacterium
Lineage: Bacteria
Description: bacterial SSU rRNA
Rfam family: Bacterial small subunit ribosomal RNA
Source: RNAcentral
UGGGGGAUAUUGCACAAUGGGGGGAACCCUGAUGCAGCGACGCCGCGUGAGUGAAGAAGUAAUUCGUUAUGUAAAGCUCUAUCAGCAGGGAAGAAAAUGACGGUACCUGACUAAGAAGCCCCGGCUAACUACGUGCCAGCAGCCGCGGUAAUACGUAGGGGGCAAGCGUUAUCCGGAUUUACUGGGUGUAAAGGGAGCGUAGACGGCGGUGCAAGCCAGAUGUGAAAGCCCGGGGCUCAACCCCGGGACUGCAUUUGGAACUGUAUAGCUGGAGUGUCGGAGAGGCAGGCGGAAUUCCUAGUGUAGCGGUGAAAUGCGUAGAUAUUAGGAGGAACACCAGUGGCGAAGGCGGCCUGCUGGACAGUAACUGACGUUGAGGUUCGAAAGCGUGGGGAGCAAACAGGAUUUAGAUACCC